CCCCCACAUACUGAAUUUCAAGAUGGCUGCCGCUGUGUUUCUCUGAACUCCUGGCUCAUUCCCCAUCUAAUAAAUAUCUGAGGAAUCCUUCCUAGAACCAUAAUUGUCCACCACUGGCUGAACCAAGAAGUGCCUCAACAACAGUUUACAGCAGUAUUAAGGACAUACAUAGUAUAUUGUGGAAGAUUCAGACUCUGUCUUGCUGAUCUCAAAGGUCUUAGUAGGCCCUGAUGGCCGAGGAUGAAGCCAUGCCACCCAGAGCUUCUAAAAACACCACUGAGGAAUAUGUCACCUUUGCUCAGGUUCCUGAAUUGUGGGACCACAGUACAACAGGAGAAACACGUUUAAAAUGUGUGCACAGAUCAUUGUAGGUUCCUCAGAAUCUUUUUCAGGAGGACUGAUGAUCUGUUGAAGCAAACCUAUAAUCUCAAGAUGGAAGAUGAGCCCUGACUGGGAAACACCAUUACACCCCUGACUGCCGAAGCCGAUGGGUGCAAUUCUUCAUUGUAAAGCCCUUUAAGACUAAAGGUGAAAUCGACUCCAGCCCAGCGAGCAUGUUUUCAAUGGGCUCCGGUUAAGAUAAAUAUCCCAAAGGAUAAGAUCAGCUUAGGAACUAUAGGAACUCAUUCUCACCCUCAUCACCUUUAUUUCAUCCUGGCUGACCAAUAAUAGCAUGUGUAUAACUUCAGAUCACAGGGAUCAGUGAUGAUUAUUUGGUUUUAAUUUGAAGUUGAAACCCAUUAAGGUGAAUGAUUAUCAGAGGGUAUCACUUGACAACACAGCUAAAUCAUUCAUUUGAAUUUCAAAAAACGACUCCAUAAAUAUUGCUUUAUGUUGAACUAACUCUGUGCACUUCAAUGAUAUUACUUGACAAUGAAAACACUCAGCUCUCUUAUCCAACUCUUAAAUCUGACUUCAAAAUAAGAGUGACUAUCAUAUAUCAAUUGUGACAUGUCAUACUAUUGGGUACGCAGAAUAAAAGGACAAUGCACUACCUGUUAUAUUCCCUUUUCCUUGUUUUCUAUGAAUUUUACCAUGUAUGUAUUUAUUUUGAAAAGAAACAUUAAAAAAGAAAAACUAAUUAACUAUGUUUUAUUCACAGGUCUUUUUAAUGAAUCAUGUUAUUUUUUAUAGGGGCAACCAAGCAUUACCUUUUCAUAAUUUCACUGGGUAAUUAAUACUUUUCAAAUAGCAAUGAAUUAAUAUACUCUGGCAUUAUUAUAAAAAGCUACAGUUGUAAUUGGCUUUAAAAGACAAAAAAAAGUGAUUUACUCUUAAAAGUAUUUGAUGAAAAAAUACCAGUGUAUUGAAAGAUAGAAAUAUCAAUUUUCAGUUUGAAACUCUGGGUGGCAGUGUUGAUGCAACGAGACAUAACACGUCUUAGGAAAGUAAAUCCACGUCUCCUCUUCACAUGCCGACCAAACACAUAUUUAAAUACUACUUCGUUUUCUGUUCUGUCGGUUGUAUAUUUCAUUGAUUUUUAUAUAAAAUAUGUUACAUUUAUAUUUUGAUCCCUCUUUGAAAC
Molecule: long non-coding RNA, 1525 nt
Organism: Eleginops maclovinus (Patagonian blennie)
Lineage: Eukaryota; Metazoa; Chordata; Actinopteri; Perciformes; Eleginopidae
Exons: 3
Source: RefSeq, a predicted model, not a curated record